This is a long non-coding RNA of Lagopus leucura (white-tailed ptarmigan), 2891 nucleotides long. RefSeq lists it as uncharacterized. NCBI's taxonomy places the organism in Eukaryota, Metazoa, Chordata, Aves, Galliformes, Phasianidae. The record is from RefSeq and is a predicted model, not a curated record. The transcript is spliced from 18 exons.
GACUAUCUUAUUUGCCAUGCACAGGCCAUGUUAAAAUACAGUACUUGUACAUGGUUGCAGUACACUGGAAACAAAUGCUUUUUGUGAUUUGUCUGAAUGGAUAACCUGUUCUGCUGAGAAGAAACUAAUGCACAAGCUACCUUGCAGCUGGUGAUGAGACCUCAAUAGCUAAACAGAAGCACCAAGGUUUGGCAACAGUAAUGCUUCAUAGUUGCAGCAUGUUCUUACACAGCACAGGAGACUCACUCAGCAUUCCUGAGGUGCUGCCAGAGGCUGCAGUCAAACAAGGAAAUUACAAAAUUUCAAGGAAUUUAAGAGAAUCUGGGAGGAUGAUAGUCACUGGUAGAAUGGCAGGGACUGUAUUAGAGGAAAAAUAAUGGAGAUCAGCUGUGCUUAGAAGAACUACAUAAAGAAAAUGAAGCCAUUGGCCUGAACCACUGAUUGAUCACCUGAGGAAAGGACUGAGUCAGUUGGGAGCACAGGUGAAGGUAAUUCAGCUGUGAAUUCACCUAGACCCCCGCAUUUAAGGGCUGACUGCCACAAGGGAACGGUCUCUUUCUGGACGUCUCUUCUCUGUGGAGUCUUUCUUGCAAAUCUGGAUCUUUGGAUAUAGGGAUUAUUCUAGCAACUCCUGAAAUGCAAAACCUUCUGUGGCAAGAGAGAAGAGGCAAUCUUCUGACUACUGCUCUGACCUGACGGACAUGCUCUCUCCAAGUAUGGCUUCAUUCAGGUAGUAAGACCAAGAACUGCAUUAAAAAAACAGGAAGAUUGGCCCUAGGCAGACAGUAAAAGCCUGAUUUGGAAAGCUAUUGUCUGGAGAUUGUAUUUGCAUAACAGCAAAUAGAGUCAACCUACAUUGUGCAGUGUUGAGGGAAAAAUAACCUUCGGAGAAAAGGAAGGCAAUUUGCCCUGCAAUGAGUCAUCAGCUCUGCUGUGCCGAAGGAAGAAGACAUUUUUGAGGAAAGGCUGCUGGCAUAUAUCUACUGUAGAGGAGAAGAAACAUAUAGUGUGAGAAUGGUCAUACCAGGAGAACUGUCAAAGAAUUGGAUAUAUGCUCUACUUUUCUGUUCCUAAGAAGCUGAUCCCUGGGAAAAAACAGUGGUGAAGAUAUUCAGAAAACCAUCAUGAUUCUCUGCAAGAUCCUUUGAGGAACUCCACUACAAGAAAACAAAAAUGGUGUGCUCUUGAGAGGGUUGCAUUUUCCCAUCUGUGAUUAAAAAUACAUAUAACGAAGAAACUGUAGCUUUACUAUAAGUGCAAAGAAAACAGAACCAGAAGUUGUGCUUUAUAGGAAGCAGAGAGAUGCUGCAAUGUUUAAGACUUGAAUUACUGCAGACCAGCUAAGAUACCAAUCUUCCUGAUUAAAGACUAAAAUGCCUUUCUUUCUUGCCAUUCUCACAAUGGAGAAUCAUGAAGCUGCCUUUACUUGCUGAGUAACUCAGAGAAUGCCAACAUUUAGUCCAAGAAGACUAAAUCCACAGUGAUCCUCCCUAGAAGAGCCUUGGGAAGGCCCUGGAGAGAGCCAGGAUCCUGCAGAAUGUGUAAGGAGAGGUCUCUGACGUCUUCACUUUGCCUGACUGCUCUACUGACAGAACGCACGUUUUUCAAGCGAAAGAUUCCUGUGGAGGAGUAAAACAGCCUGAAGGUACCACUUAUGAUGUAAAAGAGUGUUCUCCGUGACCUUAGCGAACCUAUGAACUGACCAAGAAAGCUUCUUUUUAUAAAAUGGAGAGGAUAGGAGGGAAAUAUUGAGAAAGCAUGUGCAAGCAACCUCGAGGAACGAAUUUGUGAAUUUAAAGCAUCAUUCAGCUUAUCAGCCUCUGCUUCAGUUACUGUGACAUCAUUUAUCAAGGUCCUCUCGGGGAUUUGAAAUUAAUGCGGAGGCUAAAAGUUCCCAGACUUCAUAUUGCGCAAUGGUGGUGUUCUUUGGAGAAGAGAUCAGCUACCCUGCUUCCAGCCUUUUCCCCAUAGCAUGAUCUGAAGUGGGACAGAAGCAUCAGAAGUACAGUGCAGAGAUAAAAAGAGUAAUUUGUUUCCUGGGAGAUGUCACUGUUGUCAUGAGAGACAUGAGAUGUCAUCCUUCUAGAACAGUAGAAAUGCGAAAUCAUGACUUGAAACAAUAAUUGAGCUCCUGAUGGGAAGGCAGGACCAACCAAGGGGAGUUCAGGUGCAUGCAAUUCACCUGAGUGAUUGCACCUGCUAGAGCCAGGAUCCAUUCCUUCCCAGACCUCAUUUAAGGGCUGGCAGUGGAGGAAAGGGUAUCUGGCUGGAGAUUCCUGUCUACUGGAGGUCCUCUAAAGAUCAGGCUUAACGCUGCAUCUGAAUUAAAGCAAUCUUCAUUUUUAUGAAGCUUUUGAAUUCUUUGGAAGUAGAUGGAUUUAUAAAUCCAGAGCUGGAACAAAAUUAAUUGUGAACCUUAAAAGAGAGACUAUACUUCCAAAACAUGAGGUUACCAAGUGGUUCCUGUUACCAAGUGCUUGGUUGCCAAUCAAAUCAUCGCCUUCUAGUUAUUGCACAUUUGGAAGACAGUUUACUUAGGCUAUUUAUUAAGGAAAUACAGCACCCCACUUAGUACCUGUAAACGCAGGGGAAAACAUCCUUAAGAAACCUUGAAAACUGCAGCCUUCCUGCUGAGACAUGGUUUGACAUUGAGUUCAAGAACAGCAGACAGAUCUUCUGGACUAUUUUCAAACUAAGCUGAGGAAAACGAAAAUAAGAACACAAAAAGAAAGAACCAAAUGCAUUUAAGUUGUAUAAUUGAUUUUUAUAAGAAUUUGCUCAUUUCAACUGUGUUAAAAUAGAGUUCUUCUCUGUUCAUGUAUGAGCUCUUCCCCGAACAUUGUUACUUUACUCUGGAGUGGCCUAAAGAAAAUAAAGUGUAUAAUGGCCUA